Long non-coding RNA from Xenia sp. Carnegie-2017, 1137 nucleotides. RefSeq lists it as uncharacterized. The transcript is spliced from 2 exons. Lineage: Eukaryota; Metazoa; Cnidaria; Anthozoa; Malacalcyonacea; Xeniidae. The record is from RefSeq and is a predicted model, not a curated record.
UCGUGUUUUGAUUAAAUUUUUAUUUUUCAAAGUUCUGAUUUUCGUAUCCACUAUAGAAUACAAUAUCCAGAUGUGUGUGGUAUUGGCUGCGCAUGUGAUGCUUUAGACAUCAAAGGUCUGUUUCAACAAAGAAACUAAGAAGCACUCAAAAAAAUUACAUAUCAUAAAUAUGAAUAGGCUAAAAUAAAACGCAAUCCUGUAGGUACUUAAAGCUUUGCGAUUGAUCGCAAUUCGCAACGUCCGUGGCUAGUUUGUACAUUAAACAUUUGCUGUAUCUUAAAGAAGAAAGAGCAAGUUCAUAUACGUUUUUAUUGAGAUAUCAAAGUUAAUCUUUCGAAAUCAUGAAGAUUUAUUGCGAUGAAAAGGAAAUCAAGCCGACAGCUAUAAUGACUUUCGAAAAAAUGGACCGUCUGUACCGUGAGAAGGAAGGCAAGCUUUUGUACAUCCAAGGUUCCCGCACUUAUGAUACCCUCCGUUAUGGAAAGAAUGAUUCCAAACUUCCUUUCGAGUUCACUUUCACCGAUAGAUUCAACCAUAAAUGGAAAGUUGUGAUAAACAAGCAAGAUGACGUCGUCAACAUGUUCAUACCUUGUGGUACUCAAAUGCUAUGGUACGGCGCCGAUCAGAGUCCAACAAGAACUGGUACCGACGCUCAGACCAACUGGGCCCAAGUUGAGUUUAGUUGGCAAGAUAAGACGUACCUCCGCCGUAUCACGCUGGUGUCAGAAUCGCCUUUACAGCUUACAAAGAUGACCGAAACGGAGAAUGGAAUGUCGAUAAUCAACGUUGGAACGACAUCCUUGAUUUAACAAAGAAAGGAACUGAGGUAACAGGAGCGAUCAUUGAUCAAGUUGAGAAAGUUAAAGGAAUGGCAUGAAUCCUUGUUUUUUGGUAUUGAACUGUAUUCUCGAAAUAGACUGCAGUGUUUUUCCUGGAAACAAUAGACAUUAGUGUAGUUAACACAACUUUUUGUUCUUAUAUGUGGAUUUCAUGUAUGAAAACCUCUCAUUUAGUAUUAAAUCUUUACAUUGAAACUUUUACAAAAAGUACAGUUGCAAAAGAUUGAAACUGCAUAAUUAAGUUUGUAUUUUUACGUAUCUUUUGUAAUACUAAAGUUAAUAAAUUCAGAGUGUCGAA